UACGGGGGGGGGCAAGCGUUGUUCGGAAUUACUGGGCGUAAAGGGCUCGUAGGCGGCCAACUAAGUCAGACGUGAAAUCCCUCGGCUUAACCGGGGAACUGCGUCUGAUACUGGAUGGCUUGAGUUUGGGAGAGGGAUGCGGAAUUCCAGGUGUAGCGGUGAAAUGCGUAGAUAUCUGGAGGAACACCGGUGGCGAAGGCGGCAUCCUGGACCAACACUGACGCUGAGGAGCGAAAGCAUGGGGAGCGAACAGG
RNAcentral lists this ribosomal RNA (254 nucleotides) under uncultured bacterium. Its description in RNAcentral is "partial 16S ribosomal RNA". It matches the Rfam family "Bacterial small subunit ribosomal RNA", at positions 524 to 776 of the family's 1533-position model. The record is from RNAcentral.